This 440-nucleotide ribosomal RNA is filed under the name uncultured bacterium. RNAcentral describes it as "partial 16S ribosomal RNA". It matches the Rfam family "Bacterial small subunit ribosomal RNA", at positions 338 to 795 of the family's 1533-position model. The record is from RNAcentral.
CCUACGGGUGGCAGCAGUGGGGAAUAUUGGACAAUGGGGGAAACCCUGAUGCAGCGACGCCGCGUGAGUGAAGAAGGAAUUCGUUAUGUAAAGCUCUAUCAGCAGGGAAGAAAAUGACGGUAACUGAGUAAGAAGCCCAGGCUAACUAAGAGCCAGCAGCCGCGUUAAUCCGUCGGGGGCAAGCGUUAGCCGGAUUUACUGGGUGUAAAGGGGGCGUAGACGGCAUUGCAAGUCUGGAGUGAAAGGCUGGGGCUCAACCCCCAGACUGCUGUGGAAACUGUACGGCUUGAGUGUAUGAGAGGUAAGUGGAAUUCCUGGUGUAGCGGUGAAAUGCGUAGAUAUUAGGAGGAACCCCAGUUGCGAAGGCAGCUUACUGGACUGUAACUGACGUUGAGGCUCGAAAGCGUGGGGAGCAAACAGGAUUAGAUACCCGAGUAGUC